ACUGCGGGCGCAGCGACAGCCGGAGGCGGGACCGCUGGUGGCGGUUCUAGCUCUUACAAGAGCUGUGACAGCUCCUCCACUCCGCCGACUCUUCCUUCUGCUCCGGCCACAGCUCUCCUGCUCUCCUGCGAGCCUCGCGCAGCGACCUUUAUACCGUUAGUUGAGCCCCGCCCCUACACAGGCGGCCAAUCGGAUCUCAAUUCACCCUAGUGGAUAUACGCGCGCCGCACCGAUUGGACAUCUCCACCCGGCCUGCCCCGCCCCCGCAUCCGGGGUCCACAAGCACGUGCCUGUGGGCGGGGCGGGCCUGACAGCCGCGGCUCAGAGCGCGCUCUGGAAGCGUCCGAGGCGCGGGCAGCGGAGUCCGGAGGUGGGACGGGGUCUGCCCGCGGGCCGGUGCUUGCGGCCGGACGUCGUGACGCAGUCGGACUCCGCAGCAGAAGCAGAGACGACUCCGCCGGCUGAAACGUCGCGCGCAGAGCCCGAGAGCUGAGUGCGCAGGGGCUGACCAGGGGGCAGGAGCAGACGGUCUCGGACCGGGUCGGACCGGGACCGGGCCCGGGUCGCGGACGCACGCCCCGGAGCCCCACACGCCUCCACUCUGCGCACCCUACGGAUGAGGCCGGUCACUCAAGCGCUAACCGAGCCCUGCACUUGCGCCCAGAAAUAACGCAGGAAGAAGGAGGAAACUGGGAGGUACUCGCGAGAACACGAGGCCCAGCCCAGUAUUUUCUUCAGAUUCAGCUCGGGUCUCCGGCCAAGUCGAGUAGGGACUCCUGGGCCCCUGCGAGGCCCCGCCGUCGCUAGGGUAAUGCGAGGACCUCGGGGUUCUAGAUCUCACGCAGGGAAAAGCGCCGAGGAGGCCCGUGGGUCUCGGCCCACAUGCCUGCCCCAGGGACGCGCGCAGCCCCGGCCUGCAGGCUUCCUCAGGCGCAGGCAUGCGGCCCGGGCAGCCGCCGGAGAGUCCCUCGCGGGGGAUCCCGCCCUCUCCCAGGCUUGGGGGCGGAUGCGGGGCGGGGGGUCUCCACCACUCGAGCGCCCCUGAUUCUCCUUACUGCAGAAGUCUCAGCGUCUGGGUUUUUGGCUGUCCCCCCCCCAUGUCCUGUCCCACCAAACCGUGCAAAUCUCCCUGCAACAAGAAGCCCUUUCGGAGCCAGGGAGCGGAAUACGGAGAGCGCAGCACAGAUGGCUUUUUCUCUUGGAGAUUCCACAGCAGUAAAAAGAAAAACAAAAUUCCAAUUAAUAUCGCAAUAAAUGAAUCUACCACAAAGGCUCCGUCCGGAACUGCCCCCCAACCUCUCCUUCACACCAGGUCUGCGGGGGCUGCUGCAGCUCCAACGUGGGCCACUAGGGGCCCUCUGCUCCCCUGGCCUGUGGGAGAGAAAACGUCUUUUUUCCAACUUUCUUAAUAAAAAAAGGUCUCAUGGGUAUUUUCCAAAGAAUAUCCCCAAAUGAACCAAGGGAAAGUAAAAGAAAUUUUUAAAAGCUUCUCCAGACAGCAAACACAGUUUAGAGUUGAAAAUGACUAAACCCUGCUCUUUGCUCUCUUGAUGGACGAUGGACGCAGCUACCUGGCUCUGGCCUCGGUUCCUUUUCUUCCCCUCUGAGGGGACACAGAGCAACCAAAAAUCAAGCUGGCUGGGAUAUGAGAGUGAGCAGGAAGGAACUCUACUGCCUUUCGUCCUGUAGUUCUUAAUCAUCUCUCAUGGCCUGACCCUGGGAGAUUCUCCCAGCUCCCGCCUCUCCCGGCUUUUCCUCCAACCAUCCUGAUCUCGGACUUCCCCUCCACUGGCCGGGAGGAAGGAGCUCCUGGUCCUCCUGCGCAGACUUGUGGGCGUUUCUGCAGUCCACCCUGAGGUCUCAGCGGCUGUCAGCUUUGGGAGUCUUAGCACCAACCUCUCCUCUUGCUCGUGUCUGUUCUGACUGUUCCUCACCUUCCCACCGUGGCCUCAGGACUGUCAGCAAGGCUGAGGCGGAGUCAGGAUCGGAACCCAGCUCUCUGGAGUCCCAAACUGUGGACUGCCGCUUACACCGCAAGCCCUCCUUCGGAGGGGGACAGAGACACGUAAAGUAACAGUGGGAAUAAGGACAGGAAGGUGUGCAUUUAAAAUGUUUGCAACACUGAAAGGUCUUGCUCGUAAAACCGAGCAAAUUAAAGUGUUUAGAAGAAAAUAUCUGUCUUUGCCUUCUUGGCUGGUUCAGAAUUUCGUUGAAAAGUACUGAUUUUCUAUACCUUGCAGUGUCCUGGUUUCCAAGGACUUGGGCUUCAGUCUCACAGGAUACCUCCCUUCCCCGUACUCUGGGCUGCAUUUCAUCACUGGCCCAAGCCAAUCACUAAGAGGCUCCCUGGAAUCAGCCUGACAGCAAACUGACAAGAAGCAGCGAAAAGACUGUUGGCCGGUACAAUCACAAGGUAGGAAGCCACUCAGUUGGGACAUUUUAUGAUGACUCUCAAUCCUGUAGCUCUGGAAACUGUAUGCUGAAGAUUCCCAGACUUCUGUCGAGGACUCACACCUCUUUCCAGCCGUUCACUUCACGUCCUCACUUGGAUAACUUGUAGACAUCUCUAACCUGACGUGUCCAGACUGAAUUUCCAACAUCCAUCCCGUAACCCGCAUCUCCAGGCUCUGCCUCUCAGCUGACAGCAACUCCAGCCGUCAGCGGCUCACACAAUGGCCCUGGAGUCAACCCUGACACUUCUGUUUUUUCAUGUACCCCACAUCCAACACAUAUGGAAAUCUUAUUACAUCUGCUUGGAAAAUAUAGCCCGGAUCCAACCCUUUCUUAGCUCCUGGUAGCACCUGGUCCGAGACACCAGCCUCCCCAGCUCCCUCAUUCUACUCUAGUAGACGCUAACGCCCUCCCCAGGGUCUGUGAGAUCCACACAAAUCCCCCCUUCUCUCUUCCUCUUCCCUGCCUGGCCCGUCUCCUUCUACGCCGGCUUGCUCGCUCUGCUGUAGCUGCCCCGGCCUGCUUGCUCUGCCGUGUAGACGCAAGGCGCACUCCUAACAUUAGAUUCUGACCGUCCCAAAUACCUUUCUCACACACCCUAAUGACUAAUUUAUUCACCUCCUUCAAGGCUUUGCUCACGUGUCAGAUUAUCAAUAAGCUCUACCCUCACCGCCCUAUUUAAUAUUAAAAACUACCCUCUGUUCUCCA
Long non-coding RNA from Mustela lutreola (European mink), 3159 nucleotides. RefSeq lists it as uncharacterized. NCBI's taxonomy places the organism in Eukaryota, Metazoa, Chordata, Mammalia, Carnivora, Mustelidae. The record is from RefSeq and is a predicted model, not a curated record. The transcript has 3 exons.